UACGUAGGGUGCGAGCGUUAAUCGGAAUUACUGGGCGUAAAGCGUGCGCAGGCGGUUUCGUAAGCCAGAUGUGAAAUCCCCGGGCUUAACCUGGGAACUGCAUUUGGGACUGCGAGGCUAGAGUACGGCAGAGGGAGGUGGAAUUCCACGUGUAGCAGUGAAAUGCGUAGAUAUGUGGAGGAAUACCGAUGGCGAAGGCAGCCCCCUGGGUCGACACUGACGUUCAUGCACGAAAGCGUGGGGAGCAAACAGG
This 253-nucleotide ribosomal RNA is filed under the name uncultured bacterium. Its description in RNAcentral is "partial 16S ribosomal RNA". It matches the Rfam family "Bacterial small subunit ribosomal RNA", at positions 524 to 776 of the family's 1533-position model. The record is from RNAcentral.